Molecule: transfer RNA, 70 nt
Filed under: Datnioides polota (four-banded tigerfish)
Lineage: Eukaryota; Metazoa; Chordata; Actinopteri; Lobotiformes; Datnioididae
Description: tRNA-Thr
Rfam family: tRNA
About the family: Transfer RNA (tRNA) molecules are approximately 80 nucleotides in length. Their secondary structure includes four short double-helical elements and three loops (D, anti-codon, and T loops).
Source: RNAcentral
GCGAUAGUAGCUCAGUUAGAGCUUCGGUUUUGUAAACCGAACGUCGAAGGUUAAAGUCCUUCCUAACGCU